UGGAUCCAGACUUUGAUUAUGGCUCAGGAUGAACGCUAGCUACAGGCUUAACACAUGCAAGUCGAGGGGAAACGACAUCGAAAGCUUGCUUUUGAUGGGCGUCGACCGGCGCACGGGUGAGUAACGCGUAUCCAACCUGCCCACCACUUGGGGAUAACCUUGCGAAAGUAAGACUAAUACCCAAUGACGUCUCUAGAAGACAUCUGAAAGAGAUUAAAGAUUUAUCGGUGAUGGAUGGGGAUGCGUCUGAUUAGCUUGUUGGCGGGGUAACGGCCCACCAAGGCUACGAUCAGUAGGGGUUCUGAGAGGAAGGUCCCCCACAUUGGAACUGAGACACGGUCCAAACUCCUACGGGAGGCAGCAGUGAGGAAUAUUGGUCAAUGGACGAGAGUCUGAACCAGCCAAGUAGCGUGCAGGAUGACGGCCCUAUGGGUUGUAAACUGCUUUUAUAAGGGAAUAAAGUGAGUCUCGUGAGACUUUUUGCAUGUACCUUAUGAAUAAGGACCGGCUAAUUCCGUGCCAGCAGCCGCGGUAAUACGGAAGGUCCGGGCGUUAUCCGGAUUUAUUGGGUUUAAAGGGAGCGUAGGCCGGAGAUUAAGCGUGUUGUGAAAUGUAGACGCUCAACGUCUGCACUGCAGCGCGAACUGGUUUCCUUGAGUACGCACAAAGUGGGCGGAAUUCGUGGUGUAGCGGUGAAAUGCUUAGAUAUCACGAAGAACUCCGAUUGCGAAGGCAGCUCACUGGAGCGCAACUGACGCUGAAGCUCGAAAGUGCGGGUAUCGAACAGGAUUAGAUACCCUGGUAGUCCGCACGGUAAACGAUGGAUGCCCGCUGUUGGUCUGAAUAGGUCAGCGGCCAAGCGAAAGCAUUAAGCAUCCCACCUGGGGAGUACGCCGGCAACGGUGCAACUCAAAGGAAUUGACGA
RNAcentral lists this ribosomal RNA (925 nucleotides) under uncultured bacterium. Its description in RNAcentral is "bacterial SSU rRNA". It matches the Rfam family "Bacterial small subunit ribosomal RNA", at positions 1 to 916 of the family's 1533-position model. RNAcentral also lists the same sequence under 1 other name. The record is from RNAcentral.